This 463-nucleotide ribosomal RNA is filed under the name Citrobacter sp. AATXR. RNAcentral describes it as "bacterial SSU rRNA". It matches the Rfam family "Bacterial small subunit ribosomal RNA", at positions 1 to 456 of the family's 1533-position model. The record is from RNAcentral. Lineage: Bacteria; Pseudomonadati; Pseudomonadota; Gammaproteobacteria; Enterobacterales; Enterobacteriaceae.
ACUUAAAUUGAAGAGUUUGAUCAUGGCUCAGAUUGAACGCUGGCGGCAGGCCUAACACAUGCAAGUCGAACGGUAGCACAGAGGAGCUUGCUCCUUGGGUGACGAGUGGCGGACGGGUGAGUAAUGUCUGGGAAACUGCCCGAUGGAGGGGGAUAACUACUGGAAACGGUAGCUAAUACCGCAUAACGUCGCAAGACCAAAGAGGGGGACCUUCGGGCCUCUUGCCAUCGGAUGUGCCCAGAUGGGAUUAGCUAGUAGGUGGGGUAACGGCUCACCUAGGCGACGAUCCCUAGCUGGUCUGAGAGGAUGACCAGCCACACUGGAACUGAGACACGGUCCAGACUCCUACGAGAGGCAGCAGUGGGGAAUAUUGCACAAUGGGCGCAAGCCUGAUGCAGCCAUGCCGCGUGUAUGAAGAAGGCCUUCGGGUUGUAAAGUACUUUCAGCGAGGAGGAAGGCGUUG